AGCUGGUUGGUGGGGUAACGGCCUACCAAGGCAACGACGGGUAGCUGGUCUGAGAGGACGAUCAGCCACAUUGGAACUGAGACACGGUCCAAACUCCUACGGGAGGCAGCAGUGAGGAAUAUUGGUCCAUGGACGAGAGUCUGAACCAGCCAAGUAGCGUGCAGGAUGACGGCCCUAUGGGUUGUAAACUGCUUUUAUAAGGGAAUAAAGUGAGUCUCGUGAGACUUUUUGCAUGUACCUUAUGAAUAAGGACCGGCUAAUUCCGUGCCAGCAGCCGCGGUAAUACGGAAGGUCCGGGCGUUAUCCGGAUUUAUUGGGUUUAAAGGGAGCGUAGGCCGGAGAUUAAGCGUGUUGUGAAAUGUAGAUGCUCAACAUCUGCACUGCAGCGCGAACUGGUUUCCUUGAGUACGCACAAAGUGGGCGGAAUUCGUGGUGUAGCGGUGAAAUGCUUAGAUAUCACGAAGAACUCCGAUUGCGAAGGCAGCUCACUGGAGCGCAACUGACGCUGAAGCUCCGAAAGUGCGGGUAUCGAACAGGAUUAGAUACCCUGGUAGUCCGCACGGUAAACGAUGGAUGCCCGCUGUUGGUCUGAAUAGGUCAGCGGCCAAGCGAAAGCAUUAAGCAUCCCACCUGGGGAGUACGCCGGCAACGGUGAAACUCAAAGGAAUUGACGGGGGCCCGCACAAGCGGAGGAACAUGUGGUUUAAUUCGAUGAUACGGGAGGAACCUUACCCGGGCUUGAAUUGCAGAGGAAGGAUUUGGAGACAAUGACGCCCUUCGGGGUCUCUGUGAAGGUGCUGCAUGGUUGUCGUCAGCUCGUGCCGUGAGGUGUCGGCUUAAGUGCCAUAACGAGCGCAACCCCUCUCCUUAGUUGCCAUCAGGUCAAGCUGGGCACUCUGGGGACACUGCCACCGUAAGGUGUGAGGAAGGUGGGGAUGACGUCAAAUCAGCACGGCCCUUACGUCCGGGGCUACACACGUGUUACAAUGGCAGGUACAGAGAGAUGGUGUUCUGCAGAGCGCAUCUAAUCCUUAAAGCCUGUCUCAGUUCGGACUGGGGUCUGCAACCCGACCCCACGAAGCUGGAUUCGCUAGUAAUCGCGCAUCAGCCAUGGCGCGGUGAAUACGUUCCCGGGCCUUGUACACAUCCGCC
This 1152-nucleotide ribosomal RNA is filed under the name uncultured bacterium. RNAcentral describes it as "bacterial SSU rRNA". It matches the Rfam family "Bacterial small subunit ribosomal RNA", at positions 243 to 1395 of the family's 1533-position model. The record is from RNAcentral.